UACUUUGGUCUUGUAAGCCAAAAAUGAAGCCACAGACUUCUUAGAGCA
This 48-nucleotide transfer RNA is filed under the name Marmota flaviventris (yellow-bellied marmot). RNAcentral describes it as "tRNA-Thr". The record is from RNAcentral. Lineage: Eukaryota; Metazoa; Chordata; Mammalia; Rodentia; Sciuridae.